RNAcentral lists this ribosomal RNA (289 nucleotides) under uncultured Bacteroides sp. Its description in RNAcentral is "partial 16S ribosomal RNA". It matches the Rfam family "Bacterial small subunit ribosomal RNA", at positions 59 to 339 of the family's 1533-position model. Lineage: Bacteria; Pseudomonadati; Bacteroidota; Bacteroidia; Bacteroidales; Bacteroidaceae. The record is from RNAcentral.
AAGUCGAGGGGCAGCAUUUCAGUUUGCUUGCAAACUGGAGAUGGCGACCGGCGCACGGGUGAGUAACACGUAUCCAACCUGCCGAUAACUCGGGGAUAGCCUUUCGAAAGAAAGAUUAAUACCCGAUGGUAUAAUCAGACCGCAUGGUUUCAUUAUUAAAGGAUUCCGGUAAAGGAUGGGGAUGCGUUCCAUUAGGUUGUUGGUGAGGUAACGGCUCACCAAGCCUUCGAUGGAUAGGGGUUCUGAGAGGAAGGUCCCCACAUUGGAACUGAGACACGGUCCAAACUCC